GAUGAAGAACGUAGCGAAAUGCGAUAAGUAAUGUGAAUUGCAGAAUUCAGUGAAUCAUCGAAUCUUUGAACGCACAUUGCGCCCGCCAGUAUUCUGGCGGGCAUGCCUGUUCGAGCGUCAUUUCAACCAUCAAGCCCCCGGGCUUGUGUUGGGGACCUGCGGCUGCCGCAGGCCCUGAAAACCAGUGGCGGGCUCGCUAGUCACUCCGAGCGUAGUAGUUACAUCUCGCUCAGGGCGUGCUGCGGGUUCCGGCCGUUAAAAGCCUUUUACCCCAAGGUUGACCUCGGAUCAGGUAGGAAGACCCGCUGAACUUAAGCAUAUCAAUAAGCGGAGA
Molecule: unclassified non-coding RNA, 334 nt
Filed under: soil metagenome
Description: partial contains 5.8S ribosomal RNA, internal transcribed spacer 2, and large subunit ribosomal RNA
Rfam family: 5.8S ribosomal RNA (bases 1-120)
Source: RNAcentral